AGGAGAAAGGGAUGACAAAAUCAUAGCAGUAUGUGCUGAUGACCCUGAAUUCCGCCACUAUACAGACAUCAAGGAGAUUCCCCCACACCGGCUAGCCGAAAUUCGCCGAUUCUUCGAGGACUACAAGAAGAACGAAAACAAGAAAGUCGAUGUGGAAGACUUCCUGCCAGCGGAGGCUGCCACUGAUGCCAUCAAGUACUCCAUGGAUUUGUAUGCUGCCUACAUAGUUGAAAGCUUGAGGCAGUAAGUUUUUCUUUUUCAAUGAAUAAGAGACUGGCUGUUAAAUCCAAUCAGCACAGCAUUUUUAUUGAGGCUGCUUGAUUACUUAUAUCUUGCUGCCUCAUCUUUUAACCCUUCAACUGCAACAGCUCA
This 372-nucleotide unclassified non-coding RNA is filed under the name Hevea brasiliensis (rubber tree). Lineage: Eukaryota; Viridiplantae; Streptophyta; Magnoliopsida; Malpighiales; Euphorbiaceae. The record is from RNAcentral.